AGAGUUUGAUCCUGGCUCAGAUUGAACGCUGGCGGCAGGCCUAACACAUGCAAGUCGAACGGUAACAUUUCUAGCUUGCUAGAAGAUGACGAGUGGCGGACGGGUGAGUAAUGCUUGGGAACUUGCCUUUGCGAGGGGGAUAACAGUUGGAAACGACUGCUAAUACCGCAUAAUGUCUUCGGACCAAACGGGGCUUAGGCUCCGGCGCAAAGAGAGGCCCAAGUGAGAUUAGCUAGUUGGUAAGGUAACGGCUUACCAAGGCGACGAUCUCUAGCUGUUCUGAGAGGAAGAUCAGCCACACUAGGACUGAGACACGGCCCAGACUCCUGCGGGAGGCAGCAGUGGGGAAUAUUGCACAAUGGGGGAAACCCUGAUGCAGCCAUGCCGCGUGUGUGAAGAAGGCCUUCGGGUUGUAAAGCACUUUCAGUUGUGAGGAAAAGUUAGUAGUUAAUACCUGCUAGCCGUGACGUUAACAACAGAAGAAGCACCGGCUAACUCCGUGCCAGCAGCCGCGGUAAUACGGAGGGUGCGAGCGUUAAUCGGAAUUACUGGGCGUAAAGCGCACGC
Molecule: ribosomal RNA, 567 nt
Filed under: uncultured Alteromonas sp.
Lineage: Bacteria; Pseudomonadati; Pseudomonadota; Gammaproteobacteria; Alteromonadales; Alteromonadaceae
Description: bacterial SSU rRNA
Rfam family: Bacterial small subunit ribosomal RNA
Source: RNAcentral